GAUGAAGAACGCAGCGAAAUGCGAUAAGUAAUGUGAAUUGCAGAAUUCAGUGAAUCAUCGAAUCUUUGAACGCACAUUGCGCCCGCCAGUAUUAUGGCGGGCAUGCCUGUCUGAGCGUCAUUUCAACCCUCAUGCCCCUAGGGCGUGGUGUUGGGGAUCGGCCAAAGCCCGCGAGGGACGGCCGGCCCCUAAAUCUAGUGGCGGACCCGUCGUGGCCUCCUCUGCGAAGUAGUGAUAUUCCGCAUCGGAGAGCGAUGAGCCCCUGCCGUUAAACCCCCAACUUUCCAAGGUUGACCUCAGAUCAGGUAGGAAUACCCGCUGAACUUAAGCAUAUCAAUAAGCGGAGGA
RNAcentral lists this unclassified non-coding RNA (348 nucleotides) under soil metagenome. Its description in RNAcentral is "partial contains 5.8S ribosomal RNA, internal transcribed spacer 2, and large subunit ribosomal RNA". The stretch from base 1 to 120 matches the Rfam family "5.8S ribosomal RNA", at positions 35 to 154 of the family's 154-position model. The record is from RNAcentral.